CGGGAGGCAGCAGUAGGGAAUAUUGCGAGCAAUGGACGCAAGUCUGACCCAGCACAUGCCGCGUGCAGGAUGAAGGCGUUAUGCGUUGUAAACUGCUUUUAUCACAGGAAAGAAACGACUCUUGCGAGAGGCAUUGAACGGUGACUGUAUGAAUAAGCACCGGCUAACUCCGUGCCAGCAGCCGCGGUAAUA
RNAcentral lists this ribosomal RNA (192 nucleotides) under uncultured Bacteroidota bacterium. RNAcentral's name for it is "uncultured Bacteroidetes bacterium partial 16S ribosomal RNA". It matches the Rfam family "Bacterial small subunit ribosomal RNA", at positions 342 to 525 of the family's 1533-position model. Lineage: Bacteria; Pseudomonadati; Bacteroidota. The record is from RNAcentral.